RNAcentral lists this ribosomal RNA (580 nucleotides) under Adelie penguin guano bacterium 12. Its description in RNAcentral is "bacterial SSU rRNA". It matches the Rfam family "Bacterial small subunit ribosomal RNA", at positions 93 to 686 of the family's 1533-position model. The record is from RNAcentral.
UAGUGGCGAACGGGUGAGUAACACGUGAGUAACCUGCCCUUGACUCUGGGAUAAGCCUGGGAAACUGGGUCUAAUACUGGAUAUGCACCGUGAACCGCAUGGUUUUUGGUGGAAAGAUUUAUUGGUCAAGGAUGGACUCGCGGCCUAUCAGCUUGUUGGUGAGGUAAUGGCUCACCAAGGCGACGACGGGUAGCCGGCCUGAGAGGGUGACCGGCCACACUGGGACUGAGACACGGCCCAGACUCCUACGGGAGGCAGCAGUGGGGAAUAUUGCACAAUGGGCGAAAGCCUGAUGCAGCGACGCCGCGUGAGGGAUGACGGCCUUCGGGUUGUAAACCUCUUUCAGUAGGGAAGAAGCGAAAGUGACGGUACCUGCAGAAGAAGCGCCGGCUAACUACGUGCCAGCAGCCGCGGUAAUACGUAGGGCGCAAGCGUUAUCCGGAAUUAUUGGGCGUAAAGAGCUCGUAGGCGGUUUGUCGCGUCUAUCGUGAAAGUCCGAGGCUCAACCUCGGAUCUGCGGUGGGUACGGGCAGACUACAGUGAUGUAGGGGAGACUGGAAUUCCUGGUGUAGCGGUGAAA